GCUGGGCAUGGUGGCAUAUGCCUGUAAUCCCAGUGGUUUAGGAGGCUGGGGCAGGAGGAUCACAAGUUAAAAGCCAGCCUCAGCAAUUUAUUUAGUGAGGCCCUAAGCAAUUUAGUGAGAACUUGUCUCAU
This 131-nucleotide small RNA is filed under the name Marmota monax (woodchuck). The record is from RNAcentral. Lineage: Eukaryota; Metazoa; Chordata; Mammalia; Rodentia; Sciuridae.